This 426-nucleotide ribosomal RNA is filed under the name uncultured bacterium. RNAcentral's name for it is "partial 16S ribosomal RNA". It matches the Rfam family "Bacterial small subunit ribosomal RNA", at positions 354 to 796 of the family's 1533-position model. The record is from RNAcentral.
GUGAGGAAUUUUCCGCAAUGGGCGAAAGCCUGACGGAGCAAUGCCGCGUGAAGGAUGAAGGCCUAUGGGUUGUAAACUUCUUUUCUCAGAAAAGAAUUAUGACGGUAUCUGAGGAAUAAGCAUCGGCUAACUCUGUGCCAGCAGCCGCGGUAAGACAGAGGAUGCAAGCGUUAUCCGGAAUGAUUGGGCGUAAAGCGUCUGUAGGUUGUUUAAAAAGUAUUCUGUCAAAGAUUAGGGCUUAACCCUAGAUAGGCAGAAUAAACUUUUAAGCUAGAGUUUGGUAGAGGCAGAGGGAAUUCCCGGUGGAGCGGUGAAACGCGUAGAUAUCGGGAGGAACACCAAAGGCGAAGGCACUCUGCUGGGCCAAUACUAACACUGAGAGACGAAAGCGAGGGGAGCAAAUGGGAUUAGAAACCCGGGUAGUCC